Molecule: long non-coding RNA, 752 nt
Organism: Aquila chrysaetos chrysaetos
Lineage: Eukaryota; Metazoa; Chordata; Aves; Accipitriformes; Accipitridae
Exons: 3
Source: RefSeq, a predicted model, not a curated record
UGGGGAGCAGGGCGGGAAGGAGGCAGCUGCCCGCCGGCAGACGCGUCGCCGCUUGCCCGGAGGCGGGAGCAGCCCCGGAGACUGGAAUCUACAUGGAUUACUCAGACCUGUCUUCAUUGUUCUGGGAUUUGACCACAGGCUGGUUUCCUCUGUACUUUCACAGACAAUCCAUCCAAGAACCGAUCUGCUGGAACAGGAACUUGUGAGAGCUGGGUCAUAAGACAUCAUGAGACAGUCAAAGUGCAAAGAUUUCAAAGCAACAACUACAAGGUUGGUUUGUCUUUUUUUUAUAAAAAUUUGUUUUAAAAAGAAGAACCUCAGUGAGGCUGCAGUGACUAAAAGAAUAAAAACCAUAAAACUUAAAAGAAGAUACUCCUUCAGGCAAUUCUCAUGCCAGCCUUUAAAUACACAAAUGGGCAGCAUAGCACAAUCAGAAUCUAAUGAGGGAAGCUUGUGUAGCAUGUGUCUACCCUACUCUAGUCUCUUGUCCUUCCUCAUGAAUACCUUUUCAGCACAAAAACUGAAUAAAACCUAAGAAACAAUAUAUCUUAAAAAUUGUUCGCAGGCUCAUUUUUUGUACAUUUAGGACUAAUGGUGCAAUCUUUCAUUUACAGUGCUCGUAUAAAUAGUACUUCUGAAUUUACUGAGUCUAUUCGUAUGAUUUGGGGUUAGCCUGCUCUAAUUCUAACUUGUUAGAGCUAACACCAUUCCUUAUCCUUCUAUAGGUUCUUGAGACUUUUUAGGAUUUGGCU